UUACCAUUCUUUUAAUCUCCAAAGACCCAAAUCUGAGUUUUUUGAGAUUCCCAUUAGUGAUGCAAUCUCACUAGUCAUACUCUAUGUUCCUUUCCCACACUAUUCCCAUUUCUACUAAACCAAAUAGAUAUUUAGAGAAGAGUAUACUGAAGAAAACUCAGUUCUGUACCCACUUCCUUAUAUUGAAAGAAAACGAUUGUCUGAAAUUAGAGUAUUCUGCUUCCUCUAUACCUACUCCAGCCCAAUGCCCUUGGGGCCCAUAUAACCCAGUCACAACAGGCAACCAACCCAGAUGUAUCCACCUCCAGUCUGACCUAUCUUCUAUUGAGGAACUACCCCUUUUCUCCUGGGCCUCAUGCUGCUGAAAGUGGCUCUGCUGCUCUUGGCUCUAUUCAUUGGAAAGUUUGAUGUCAUCACAAAGCCAUCCUGUCUCUUCAACCUCCAUGGACCACUUUCUUUUCUCAUGAGAAAGUAAAUCUGACUUGUGAGCAUCUGGGUCUCAUCGGAUUAGGAAAAAUUCAAUGGUACAAACAGGGAAAGAAGCUUCAUAAAACCUCUACAAACACCAUUAUAAUCUGGGAAAGUGGACAGUACAGCUGUGGGAAUGAGGAUUCUGCCCACAGUGACCCUGUAACCAUCACAUUCUUGAAGGGUGAGAAAAGGACAUUGUAUCACUCCAGGGAGUCAUGUCACAUUUAUCAUUUAAAGAUCCCAAGAGGAUGUAUUGGGGACUCAACUUUGGGGGUCUUCUUUUCCCUGGCAUCCCAUAUUCUUUCUAGGAACUAGCAGAAGCCUGGUCUAUAUCUAGAAUUUGAAGAAGAGAUAAAAUCUUGGGGAGAUCAAUGGAGACAGGUACUAGUGACUCAAGUGAUGGAGAUGCUUUUGGCAGUAAUAACUGCCCAUUUGUUCUAACCUUAUAAGUGAAGUCAGAAUCAGGAAUGGAGAGAAAGGUAAGGAGGAUUUUUAAUGAGUUAUGAAGAGUUUUUCUAUGAUUAAACUAUUAUAGAGAUCCAAUAAGAAACAUCUACUAUUGCAGAGUUCUAUUUAUAAUCAGAGUUGUCUAGGAAUACUAAAAAGUUAAGUGACUUGGCCAGAAUCACACAGCCAGGAUAUGUCGUAAAUGAAACGUAAGUCCACCUCAGCCCAAUUCUGAGGGCACCUGACUAUCCACAGGGCCAGGCUUCCUCUCAAAUGAAAAAUAUUGAAAAAGAAAGAGGCAGAAAGGGAGGGAGGGAAAGGAAGGGAAAGAGGAGGAGGAAUGAAGGGACAGAAAAAAAGGUCGAAAGGAGAAAGAGAGGGGAAAAAGGAAAAGACAAAGAAAAGGAAUAUGGGAAGAAGGAAAGUGUUAUUCCAUAGACCCUGGACCCUGGGCACUAAGUGAAGAACUCUCACUGAGAAGAAAGGAUGUCUGUCACCUUGGGAUUACUGAGGGACAUGCCAAGGGACCAGUAUGUAAGCCCUGGAGAGGGGAGACAGAAGGAAGAAGUAUCAUGAGUGGGGUUCUAAAUGACUCAGAAAAUCAUAUUAUGAUUGAUGUAACAUUGAUGAAUGACACUGAGAUUAUUCAAAUAGUGAACAAAUAUUUACUGAUGAAAUUGUUUUUAAAACAACUUUUUAUUGAUAUCCAUUGUUUUUAAAUUCCCUAAAUUUCCCAUUUGUGUCUUUUCCCCGAGAACCAUCCCAUGUGACAAAGAUUUUCUAUUAAAGAAAAGGAGGAAGAAAAAAAAAAUAAAACUGUAAAAUUCAUCAACAUAUCAAAAAACAACCCACAAACCCUAACUAUAUUUAAUGUCACAGAUUGUGCAUGCAUGUACGCACACACACAUACAUCCUCUGCAAAGUAGUGAUGAAAAAUGUUUCCUCUUUUUUUUCAAAUCAAGCUUGUUCUUUGCAAUUUUAUAACAUUCAUUUUCAGUUUUUUGCUGUUGUUCUUUUCAUUUUCAUUGUGAUAGUAAUGUAUAUCAUUUUCUUGACUCCUUAAUUAUGCAUCAGUUCAUAAGUCUUUCCAUGAUUCUCUGUAUCCAUUCCAUUUAUCAUUUCUUAUAAUAUUCAAUUACAUUCAUUUACCACAAUUUUUUAGCCAUUCCUCAUUAUGAUAGGCAUCUAUCAAUUGUAAUAUCAUUCAUUAAGUACAUAGCAUUUGAAAUGUACUGUGCUAGAUGUCAGGGAAAAUAUAAAAAUAAUUAAUUCUAUUUUAUUUUAUUUUCAUUUCCAAAUUCUCUUCCUCCCUUCUCCUCUCCUACCCACUGAAAAAACGGGAGGAAAGGAGGAGGGAGUAAAUAUCCUUGACAAAUAAUGUAUAAUCAUGCAAAACAACUUCCCACAUUAACCAUAACCAUGUCCAAAAAAGCAAAAAAGAAAAUAGUUUCAAUUUAUAUUCUAAGUACUUCAGUUCUUAAGAUAUCAAAAAAGCAAAACAAAAACCAAAAAAACCCUUCUAAAUACUUUUUAUUCUCUUAGUUCUAAGACACCACAUCCUCCUGAUUCUCUUUCUAACACCCUAAAAUGUUCUUUAUUUGUCCCUACUACUGGUUUCCUCCACCUUCUGACCCCUUUAGAUGGAUCUUUCCUAAAUUUCUCUCCUUGAUCCUUUCCUUUCUUUAUCUCUAGAUUAUCUCAUUUAUAGCCCUAAGUUCAUUAUCAUUGCUAUGCAGACAACACACAAAACUGCACCUAUUUUCCAAGUUUCAGAUUUGUCUCUAACAAUCUGAUAGCUCCACCUAGAUUUCCCACUGACAUCUCAAACAUGUCCAACGCAAAUAUUAUUAUCUAUUCCAAUCCUUCUCCCUCUGAUUUCACUAUUUCAUUCAUAACAUAAUCCAUACAGUUUGAAAUGUCAGCAUUACUUUUUAACUCUUUCCUCUCCUUUACACCUGAAUCUUUCGUCUUCAAUAUCUCAUAUCUGCCCCUAUCUGUCUAUUCCCAUUGCCAAUAUCCUUGUAUCAGUCCUUAUUAAUCAACCAACCAACAAGCAUUUAUUAAACACUUAAUAUAUGCGAGGUACUAGAAGAAGUGUUUGGGAUAAAAAGAGAAAGCACAAAAUGGUAAUACCAUUCACACUAUAUCAAUAACCAUCUAGUUGGUCCUCCUAUUUACAUUGUCCCCCUCCCCACUCAUAUUUAUCCUUCACACCCCUGCUAAACCUGUAUUGGGCCUAGAUUUUGUUAUGCUGUUUUCUUAGCUCAAAAAUUUUCAAUGAUUUCCUACUGCCUCCUGAGUAAAAUUAAAACUCAUUUGUCUCAUUCCUGUCCUUCUACAAUCCAGCACCAUCCCUAGCUUUUCAGCCACAUCUCAUGUGAAUCUCCUCCAUUUCAAUUAAAGUAAAAUAACAUUUAAAAAACAAAAACAAAAAAUAAGAAUGUAUUGAGAGUCCAUUAUGUGCCAGACACUGCACUUAGUGCUAGAGAUAGAGUGAAAAAUAAAACAAUAUCUUCCCUCAAAGAGCUUACAUUUUACUUUUAAAAGUAGGGUAUAC
This is a long non-coding RNA of Antechinus flavipes (yellow-footed antechinus), 3475 nucleotides long. RefSeq lists it as uncharacterized. Lineage: Eukaryota; Metazoa; Chordata; Mammalia; Dasyuromorphia; Dasyuridae. The transcript has 3 exons. The record is from RefSeq and is a predicted model, not a curated record.